RNAcentral lists this ribosomal RNA (117 nucleotides) under Firmicutes bacterium CAG:145. Lineage: Bacteria; Bacillati; Bacillota. RNAcentral also lists the same sequence under 2 other names. The record is from RNAcentral.
UCCGGUGACUAUGGCUGAGAGGAUACACCUGUUCCCAUCUCGAACACAGAAGUUAAGCUCUCAUGCGCCGAUAAUACUUGGUGGGAAGCUGCCUGGGAAUGUAGGUCGUUGCCGGUU